AUUAGUUAGUUGGUGAGGUAAUGGCUCACCAAGACAAUGAUCAAUAGCUGAUCUGAGAGGAUGAUCAGCCACACUGGGACUGAGACACGGCCCAGACUCCUACGGGAGGCAGCAGUGGGGAAUCUUGCACAAUGGAGGAAACUCUGAUGCAGCGAUGCCGCGUGAGUGAAGAAGGCCUUUGGGUUGUAAAGCUCUUUUGUAGGGGAAGAUAAUGACUGUACCCUAAGAAUAAGGUCCGGCUAACUUCGUGCCAGCAGCCGCGGUAAUACGAAGGGACCUAGCGUAGUUCGGAAUUACUGGGCGUAAAGCGCGCGUAGGCCGUUGAGUUAGUUAAUUGUGAAAUCCCAAAGCUUAACUUUGGAACUGCAAUUAAAACUGCUCGACUAGAGUUUGAUAGAGGAAAGCGGAAUACAUAGUGUAGAGGUGAAAUUCGUAGAUAUUAUGUAGAACACCAGUUGCGAAGGCGGCUUUCUGGGUCAACACUGACGCUGAGGCGCGAAAGUCUGGGGAGCGAACAGGAUUAGAUACCCUGGUAGUCCAGACCGUAAACGGUGGGCACUAGUUGUGGGAACCUUCCACGGUUUCUGCGACGCAGCUAACGCAUUAAGUGCCCCGCCUGGGGAGUACGAUCGCAAGAUUAAAACUCAAAGGAAUUGACGGGGCCCCGCACAAGCAGCGGAGCAUGCGGCUCAAUUCGACGCAACGCGAAGAACCUUACCAAGGCUUGACAUAUAGGGAAAAGUGGCAGAGAUGUCAUGUCCGCAAGGGCUCUAUACAGGUGGUGCAUGGUUGUCGUCAGCUCGUGUCGUGAGAUGUUGGGUUAAGUCCCGCAACGAGCGCAACCCUCGUUCUGUGUUGCCAGCAUUUAGUUGGGGACUCACAGGAGACUGCCGGGGUUAACUCGGAGGAAGGUGGGGAUGACGUCAAAUCAUCAUGCCCCUUAUGUCUUGGGCUGCACGCAUGCUACAAUGGCCGGUACAGAGGGCUGCAAUACCGUAAGGUGGAGCGAAUCCCAAAAAGCCGGUCUCAGUUCGGAUUGAGGUCUGCAACUCGACCUCAUGAAGUUGGAGUUGCUAGUAAUCGUAGAUCAGCAACGCUACGGUGAAUACGUUCCCGGGGCUUGUACACACCGCCCGUCACGUCACGAAAGUCGGUAACAACCCAAAGUCAGUGGCCCAAC
RNAcentral lists this ribosomal RNA (1180 nucleotides) under uncultured bacterium. Its description in RNAcentral is "bacterial SSU rRNA". It matches the Rfam family "Bacterial small subunit ribosomal RNA", at positions 240 to 1439 of the family's 1533-position model. The record is from RNAcentral.